This 1645-nucleotide long non-coding RNA is filed under the name Homo sapiens (human). Its description in RNAcentral is "HSALNT0277252". The record is from RNAcentral. Lineage: Eukaryota; Metazoa; Chordata; Mammalia; Primates; Hominidae.
UCAAAGGGGGUUGAAGUUACAGUGGAAUGCAGAGGCUGAUCUAAGAGAGUCAAACAGGGCACAGAAGGUUGGUUUUAUUGUGCUAGGAGGAAUAGGUAGGCACAUGGUAGACAUCCCAUAAGCACUGGCUGAAUGAGUGAAUAAAUCAUGAACACAACGUGUUUUAUUUACUCAGUCAUCCAGUGCUUAUGGGAUGCCUAUUAUGUGCCAGGUGGCAUGCUCAGAGAAAGUUCACUUUCCAGUUGUGUUAGGAAGUAAGGAAGCCCAGGAAACAAGAUAGUCAAGAUUUUGUGAUAUCUCAGUGACUUAAAGAUUCACUUCUUCCCUAAAUAUUAAAGAACUGGAAAGAGCUACACGGGUGGCUGGAUAACUGGGUAAACUGAAAAAGAAGCAUUUGGUGGUAGGGGUAUACCCUGUCUUGGGUUACUAGGUCUGUGGUUAUGAAAUACCACAGUGAGUGGUUUAAACAAGUUUAUUGUCUCAGUUCUGGAGACUAAAAGUCCAAAAUCAAGGUGUCAGCAGGGUGCGCUCCUUCUGAAUGUGUGAAGGAAAGAGCUGUUCCAGGCUUCUCUCCUUGUUGGCUGGUGUGAUGGUUAAUAUUGAGUGUCAACUUGAUUAGAUUGAAGGAUGCAAGGUAUUGUUCCUAGGUGUGUUUGUGAGAGUGUUGACAAAGGAGAUUAACAUCUGAGUUGGUGGAGUGGGAGAGGCAGAUCCACCCUCAGUCUGGGUGGGCACCAUCUAAUCACAGCUGCUAGCAUAAAAGCAGGCAUGGAAAAAGCAGACUUGCUGAGUCUCUGGCCUCCAUCUUUCUCCCAUGUUGGAUGCUUCCUGCCCUCGAACAUCAGACUCCAAGUUCUUCAGCUUUUGGACUCUCGGACCUACACAAGUGACUUGCCAGGGGCUCUUGGGCCUUCAGCCACAGACUAAAGGCUGCCCUAUCAGCUUCCCUACUUUUGAGGUUUGGGGAUUUGGACUGGUUUCCUGGCUCCUCAGCUUGCAGACGGACUACUGUGGGACUUCACCUUGUGAUCAUGACAGUGCAUGCUGCGGCACUCCAUGAUGGUACCUCAUCCCUGCCUCUGAUGCCCAGUGCCAAUCACCCUUCUGCCGGCACAGUUACAACCUCGACUGCGUAGUUGACACAAUGCAACCCUCCAAGUUCCAGAAUGAUGCUUCUUUUCUAGGAGCUCCCAGAGAGCCAAAGCCUUGAGUGUCCCACACAGAACAGAUUCCCUCUCCCCAGCCUGGCAUCCCUCUUGGUCAUCCCAGCACCAAGAGGACUGUCUGAGCACCAAUGUCUCAAGAAGACUUUUGAUGACAACAGUGGAAACCAUUUCUUCAGCUUCUCUUUACAUUGUUUCUUUCUCUAGAAUCUGCAUGCAGGAUUUUCCCUCUGGAUUAAAUGACCAAUCUCUGAGACAGACACCCAUUUUCUUCUCCCAACCUUCCUCCCCAUCAUUCAUGCACUGAUUGUGUUUCUUCCACCAAAGGCUUUAAAAAAUGCCAAUGGAAUUGUAAACCAAUCUAAAAUCUGAUGGAAGGGGAAAGACAUAAAGUUGUAGCCACAGAUAUUUCAGCUUUAAGACAUUCCUCACCUCUUCCCCCUAAGUCUCAGGUUCCCCAUCAAUGGAAUGAAAUGGACAUA